AGAUCAUCACUGGGCAUAAAGAGUGCGCAGGCGGUUUUGUAAGACAGAGGUGAAAUCCCCGGGCUCAACCUGGGAACUGCCCUUGUGACUGCAAGGCUGGAGUGCGGCAGAGGGGGAUGGAAUUCCGCGUGUAGCAGUGAAAUGCGUAGAUAUGCGGAGGAACACCGAUGGCGAAGGCAAUCCCCCUGGGCCUGCACUGACGCUCAUGCACGAAAGCGUGGGGAGCAAACA
RNAcentral lists this ribosomal RNA (231 nucleotides) under uncultured Alicycliphilus sp. RNAcentral describes it as "partial 16S ribosomal RNA". It matches the Rfam family "Bacterial small subunit ribosomal RNA", at positions 550 to 774 of the family's 1533-position model. The record is from RNAcentral. Lineage: Bacteria; Pseudomonadati; Pseudomonadota; Betaproteobacteria; Burkholderiales; Comamonadaceae.